UAACGUCAUAAAUAUCCUGC
Molecule: microRNA, 20 nt
Filed under: Spodoptera frugiperda (fall armyworm)
Lineage: Eukaryota; Metazoa; Arthropoda; Insecta; Lepidoptera; Noctuidae
Description: sfr-miR-10456-5p
Source: miRBase by way of RNAcentral